Molecule: ribosomal RNA, 505 nt
Filed under: uncultured bacterium
Lineage: Bacteria
Description: partial 16S ribosomal RNA
Rfam family: Bacterial small subunit ribosomal RNA
Source: RNAcentral
GACGAACGCUGGCGGCGUGCCUAAUACAUGCAAGUAGAACGCACAGUUUAUACCGUAGCUUGCUACACCAUAGACUGUGAGUUGCGAACGGGUGAGUAACGCGUAGGUAACCUGCCUGGUAGCGGGGGAUAACUAUUGGAAACGAUAGCUAAUACCGCAUAAUAUUGAUUAUUGCAUGAUAAUUAAUUGAAAGGUGCAAUUGCACCACUACCAGAUGGACCUGCGUUGUAUUAGCUAGUAGGUGAGGUAACGGCUCACCUAGGCGACGAUACAUAGCCGACCUGAGAGGGUGAUCGGCCACACUGGGACUGAGACACGGCCCAGACUCCUACGGGAGGCAGCAGUAGGGAAUCUUCGGCAAUGGACGAAAGUCUGACCGAGCAACGCCGCGUGAGUGAAGAAGGGUUUCGGAUCGUAAAGCUCUGUUGUAAGAGAAGAACGGGUGUGAGAGUGGAAAGUUCACACUGUGACGGUAGCUUAACAGAAAGGGACGGCUAACUACGUG